AAAAAUUAAAUUAAUUGUGUUAAAGUAGUAAUAGUUAAGAUCUUGAAAUUUAAAAAAUUUGGCGGUAUUUUAGUCUAUCCAGAGGAACCUGUUUUGUAAUCGAUAAUCCACGUUGGACCUUACUUAAAUUUGUAUAAAAAUUAUAUUAGUUUAUAUAUCGUUGUUUAUUGAAUAUUUUAUAAAAAAAAUAAUUUUCAAGAUUUUUUUAAGAAAGUAUAUCAGAUCAAGAUGUAGCUUAUGUUUAAGUUUUUAAUGGGUUACAUUGAUUGUAUUAGUUGGAUGUAAGUUUGAAAUUUAUUUAUUUAAAUUGGAUUUGGUAGUAAAUUUAUAAAGAUAAAUAAAUUGAUUUAAGCUCUAAAAUAUG
Molecule: ribosomal RNA, 364 nt
Filed under: Pipunculus violovitshi
Lineage: Eukaryota; Metazoa; Arthropoda; Insecta; Diptera; Pipunculidae
Description: partial 12S ribosomal RNA
Source: RNAcentral